This 216-nucleotide ribosomal RNA is filed under the name uncultured bacterium. Its description in RNAcentral is "partial 16S ribosomal RNA". It matches the Rfam family "Bacterial small subunit ribosomal RNA", at positions 125 to 334 of the family's 1533-position model. The record is from RNAcentral.
CCGUAGCCUGGUAGCGGGGGAUAACUAUUGGAAACGAUAGCUAAUACCGCAUAAUAGUAGAUGUUGCAUGACAUUUGCUUAAAAGGUGCAAUUGCAUCACUACCAGAUGGACCUGAGUUGUAUUAGCUAGUUGGUGGGGUAACGGCUCACCAAGGCAACGAUACAUAGCCGACCUGAGAGGGUGAUCGGCCACACUGGGACUGAGACACGGCCCAG